AUUUUAUUAUGUGAUUAAUUAAAUUAAAUGUGAGAGACAUUUAAUUUAAUUAAUUAAUGUUAAGUUUGGUGAUUAAAACUUAAUAAGAGUGAAAAAAGGUGUCAAAAGUCAAUUUGGACUUUUCUUCUUAUAAACCUUUAUUAACCUUUAUAAAAAAUUAAAAAAAAUUAAAAAAAAAUUAAUGGUCACAUAUAUGGAAAAGGGUGGCUGGCCAUGUGCUAUUUUAGAGUGGUGUGAACCCAAUUUUAUAAAAUUCAAAUCCCAUUUAAUUAAGAAGUCAAGUGGGCAAGUGGGUAGAAAAGCACUCAAGUGUUUUGUGAUAUUUUGAAGAGUAGUGUGAGCCAUUCUAACCCCCAAAUCCGACCACUCUCCCUCCCUCAUUCACUCUCAUCUGAUUUUUGAAGACUCUCUCAAGUGUUCUCUCCAUUUUGAACCCCAAGAACACCAAAGAAACUUGGAAGCUAAGUCUUGGUCUAGGAAGGGUUUUCCCUAAGUUGGUUAGGGUUUUUGAAAGGUUUUGAAGGAGUCAAAGCUUAUAGGAAGGUCCAAACCUUAAGCAAGAACACCAAAGAGGUAAGAACAAGGGCAAGGCAGAGCAGUGAGCGCUGGAGUCUUCCUUGCAAAUGUACAUGUGGACCGACCUUUUGGGAAGCCUUUUUAUUUUUGGAAAUGUUGUGUAAUUUUCCUAAACUAGGCUCACUCUAAUCUUUAUAAAACAUGUUUGUAACUAAAUGUUAAGUAUGGCCAUACGACUUUUUAAAAAGUUUUUUUUUCUAUGGGUUUUUGAGACAUUUUGUUAAAUGAAAACAUUUAUAUUUCCGCAUUAUUGAGUCUUGAAAAUCCGGGUCGUUACAGU
Molecule: long non-coding RNA, 856 nt
Organism: Humulus lupulus (European hop)
Lineage: Eukaryota; Viridiplantae; Streptophyta; Magnoliopsida; Rosales; Cannabaceae
Exons: 3
Source: RefSeq, a predicted model, not a curated record